This 2560-nucleotide long non-coding RNA is filed under the name Carica papaya (papaya). Its description in RNAcentral is "long non-coding RNA (CPAP_LNC004631)". The record is from RNAcentral. Lineage: Eukaryota; Viridiplantae; Streptophyta; Magnoliopsida; Brassicales; Caricaceae.
UUUUAUACCAACUUCAAAACUCAACAGAAUUUCACCAGUGAAAGAGAAAUAUUCUACCAGUCCAAGGAGCAGAAGCUGUGUGGCUUCAACUCCGGGACUAGCAUCAGAGAAUCAUACCUGUUACUUCAUCUGGUGAUGCACGGCAGGUUAAUCCAUUUGGCUGCUCUAUGUUUUCCAACUUUUCAAUGUUUCUUCUUUUAUCCUGCAAGGUAAUCCAAAAAAGAGAUUUACAAUACACAUGCAUGGAUAGAGAAAGUUACCGAUUUGUUUACAAAAAUAUCGAUAAGAAAAUUGCAUGUGGGGGACAGUAUUCCCACAUGCUAAGAGAACUAUUAAGUCAAGCUCUUGCUAUAAAGAACAUGAGCAACUAUACUUUUACCUAAUGCCUACUACAUUACAUGGUUUCCUCUGCACAGAAUGUCCACUCUGUAACAGCUGUGUUCAUCCAAGCCUUAAACCCAAGUAGUUUAUUACCAAAGAGAUGUCAAAUUACGGAAAGUGAUUACUUGGAUGUAUCUACCACUUCAUACAGUUUCAUGCAAGCGACAAGAUCAGCAAACUCAAUGAAUCAUACCCCAUAGGAUAAAUUAAGAUAAAAAAUCCAAAUCAUAGAUAUACAGUAAAACCUCUGCCACCAAACUAGAAAAUCAAAGUCCUUGUGAAAAUUGUGACAUAAAUAGCAUGUUCAGAUAAAAAUAAUAACAAUCAGUUUACAAUCCAGAUCCCACAUUUUGACUAUUAGGUCAUGUUUGGUAUGGUGGGUAGGGUAAGUUAAGGCUAGUUCAUUAUUCCAAACAAUUUUAACUCGUUCGAUUCAAGAGAACAUUCCUAUGAACUUCUUAUUCUCUGAAAUCAAGACUUAAUUACUUAUUUUGGGAAUACUCAAAGCCCUGCUAGACACUACAAGAGCAUAAUAGAGCAAUUCAAAAGUUACCUCCCCCUUUCAGUGUAAGAGUUAUCCUCAACUCCAUCACCUUGAGAUGAUUCAACAGAUUCAGAUUCCAGCUCUGCAUCAAGAAAUGCAGCGAAGUUGUCGCUACUAGAUGAAUGCACCGGAGAAUCCAUCAAAAAACUCAUUUGGUCAUCCACGCAAUAAAAAUGCUUCAAUUCAAAUGAAAAAUAAUAAGAUACAAAAGAGAAGUGCUUGAAUUCUAGAAUUCUUCUUACUUUUCCACAUGCAAACAAGAAUGCUAUUCUUCUUACAGAGUUCAUUAAGCACUUUUACCCAAUUCUACAUCUGUGAUGGCUGAUUAAGAAACGUAUUAUAUGAAGUUAUCGUACCAAGCUAGUACCGAACGCCCAUUAAAAAAAAGCAAUGUUUUGAAGCUUCUCUUGAGGUGUGUCUCAAAAUGAAGGUGGAAUGCAUUAGGCAAAGGAUCCAGUUGGCUUAGAAAGACAGUUAUGAUGAGGACAAAGUAUCAAUUCACUAGGUGCAUGUGAUGAAUACCCAUGAGGAAAGGUAAAAGAACCUUUCCUGGUGGAUUUAAUUAACAAACUCUAUAAUCAAACUCGGUUACAGAGAAAAUUAAAGCCUAAGUAGCUUGUUUUGACUUGACAAUACACCCAAGCAAAUCCCUCAAACUAAAAUUAACUUUCCCCUAAGUGCAUCAAUAACCUCAUCCUCAACACCUAGAUGAUGCUUAAGAUAAAAGUGUAAGAACAAAAUGUUCACUGAUUAAAGAAUUCCAAACAACUUAAUAUGCCUGUAACUCAAUAAAAAACUCCUUGGGAAGAAUCACUAGCAAAGGGAUUGUACAACACCAUACACUUUUUCUCAAAGAUAGAACUAACUUGUUUAGACUCACAGAAGUUCUCGUUAAAGAACCCUAUAGCAUAUGGCUGUUGACUCACUGUAGCACCUAUUCCAACUCUUAGGUAAUCGAAGCAAUUGCAAAGAAGCUACCUUUACGUACCUCUGUGCAUAGCCAUCCACCUCCACGACGCAAUGCAGCAUCAUGUCAGCGUCAUCAGCCUCAUUGGCCCAAGUUCCCUUGACUCAACAAAACCUUCAGGGACUCCAAGCUACCUCUAAAUGUAGCUCUGUGCAGAGCCAUUCAUCUCUUAUGGUCCUUCUUGUUAACCUUCCCCACCAACUCCAGACAGUUCUUGAUUAUGUACACGUCGGUUACCCUCGCGACUCGCUGCAAAAGAUCGCCAGAUAAAGCACGUCGUGCAGAUCUGAGUGCUCGUUUUCCAGUGCCAGCCGCGAAAGGGGCCUUGCAUUCUAUAUUCACUACGCAUUUGGCAAAACUAGAGGUUUCGAGUAACACUGUUGAAGAUUGAGUUUUCCACGGGACAAGUAGUUUGAUUUUGUUUUUUUCAUACUUACUGUUUACUGUUUCCUUCAUGUUUACUGUUUCCUUCAGGUAUUGACUACAGCAGAAAACUCCUAUUUUUUCUGCAAAUUUUCCUUUUCACUUUCUUUCAUAUUCUUCCAUAUUUCAGAAAUUUAAUUAACUAACAUUUUAAAGAGUGGUAUCAGAGUUGCUGUUUUUGUAGGCUGUGAGGAGUUAAGCAAACUUGUUUUUUGAUUAAACUUCAUCAAGUUGACAGAAAAUGG